UACGUAGGGUGCAAGCGUUGUCCGGAAUUAUUGGGCGUAAAGAGCUCGUAGGCGGUCUGUUACGUCGGAUGUGAAAACCCGAGGCUUAACCUCGGACCUGCAUUCGAUACGGGCAGACUCGAGUGUGGUAGGGGAGACUGGAACUCCUGGUGUAGCGGUGAAAUGCGCAGAUAUCAGGAAGAACACCGGUGGCGAAGGCGGGUCUCUGGGCCACUACUGACGCUGAGGAGCGAAAGCGUGGGGAGCGAACAGG
This 253-nucleotide ribosomal RNA is filed under the name uncultured bacterium. Its description in RNAcentral is "partial 16S ribosomal RNA". It matches the Rfam family "Bacterial small subunit ribosomal RNA", at positions 524 to 776 of the family's 1533-position model. The record is from RNAcentral.